CCUACGGGAGGCUGCAGUGAGGAAUAUUGGUCAAUGGACGCAAGUCUGAACCAGCCAAGUCGCGUGCAGGAUGACGGCCCUCCGGGUUGUAAACUGCUUUUAGUUGGGAAUAAAAGGGGGCUCGUGAGCCCCGUAUUGUAUGUACCAUCAGAAAAAGGACCGGCUAAUUCCGUGCCAGCAGCUGCGGUAAUACGGAGGGUCCGGGCGUUCUCCGGAUUUAUUGGGUUUAAAGGGAGCGUAGGGUGGUUUUUAAGUCAGCUGGGAAAGUCCGCGGCUCAACCGGGGAAUUGCAUUUGAAACUGGCAGUCUUGAGUACAGUAGAGGUGGGCGGAAUGCGUGGUGUAGCGGUGAAAUGCGUAGAUAUCACGAAGAACUCCGAUUGCGAAGGCAGCAUACCGGCGCUCAACUGACGCUCAUGCACGAAAGUGUGGGUAGCGAACAGGAUUAGAUACCCGAGUAGUC
This 462-nucleotide ribosomal RNA is filed under the name uncultured bacterium. RNAcentral's name for it is "partial 16S ribosomal RNA". It matches the Rfam family "Bacterial small subunit ribosomal RNA", at positions 338 to 795 of the family's 1533-position model. The record is from RNAcentral.